AGAGUUUGAUCAUGGCUCAGAUUGAACGCUGGCGGCAGGCCUAACACAUGCAAGUCGAACGGUAACAGGAAGAAGCUUGCUUCUUUGCUGACGAGUGGCGGACGGGUGAGUAAUGUCUGGGAAACUGCCUGAUGGAGGGGGAUAACUACUGGAAACGGUAGCUAAUACCGCAUAACGUCGCAAGACCAAAGAGGGGGACCUUCGGGCCUCUUGCCAUCGGAUGUGCCCAGAUGGGAUUAGCUUGUUGGUGGGGUAACGGCUCACCAAGGCGACGAUCCCUAGCUGGUCUGAGAGGAUGACCAGCCACACUGGAACUGAGACACGGUCCAGACUCCUACGGGAGGCAGCAGUGGGGAAUAUUGCACAAUGGGCGCAAGCCUGAUGCAGCCAUGCCGCGUGUAUGAAGAAGGCCUUCGGGUUGUAAAGUACUUUCAGCGGGGAGGAAGGGAGUAAAGUUAAUACCUUUACUCAUUGACGUUACCCGCAGAAGAAGCACCGGCUAACUCCGUGCCAGCAGCCGCGGUAAUACGGAGGGUGCAAGCGUUAAUCGGAAUUACUGGGCGUAAAGCGCACGCAGGCGGUUUGUUAAGUCAGAUGUGAAAUCCCCGGGCUCAACCUGGGAACUGCAUCUGAUACUGGCAAGCUUGAGUCUCGUAGAGGGGGGUAGAAUUCCAGGUGUAGCGGUGAAAUGCGUAGAGAUCUGGAGGAAUACCGGUGGCGAAGGCGGCCCCCUGGACGAAGACUGACGCUCAGGUGCGAAAGCGUGGGGAGCAAACAGGAUUAGAUACCCUGGUAGUCCACGCCGUAAACGAUGUCGACUUGGAGGUUGUGCCCUUGAGGCGUGGCUUCCGGAGCUAACGCGUUAAGUCGACCGCCUGGGGAGUACGGCCGCAAGGUUAAAACUCAAAUGAAUUGACGGGGGCCCGCACAAGCGGUGGAGCAUGUGGUUUAAUUCGAUGCAACGCGAAGAACCUUACCUGGUCUUGACAUCCACGGAAGUUUUCAGAGAUGAGAAUGUGCCUUCGGGAACCGUGAGACAGGUGCUGCAUGGCUGUCGUCAGCUCGUGUUGUGAAAUGUUGGGUUAAGUCCCGCAACGAGCGCAACCCUUAUCCUUUGUUGCCAGCGGUCCGGCCGGGAACUCAAAGGAGACUGCCAGUGAUAAACUGGAGGAAGGUGGGGAUGACGUCAAGUCAUCAUGGCCCUUACGACCAGGGCUACACACGUGCUACAAUGGCGCAUACAAAGAGAAGCGACCUCGCGAGAGCAAGCGGACCUCAUAAAGUGCGUCGUAGUCCGGAUUGGAGUCUGCAACUCGACUCCAUGAAGUCGGAAUCGCUAGUAAUCGUGGAUCAGAAUGCCACGGUGAAUACGUUCCCGGGCCUUGUACACACCGCCCGUCACACCAUGGGAGUGGGUUGCAAAAGAAGUAGGUAGCUUAACCUUCGGGAGGGCGCUUACCACUUUGUGAUUCAUGACUGGGGUGAAGUCGUAACAAGGUAACCGUAGGGGAACCUGCGGUUGGAUCACCU
Molecule: ribosomal RNA, 1530 nt
Filed under: Escherichia coli
Lineage: Bacteria; Pseudomonadati; Pseudomonadota; Gammaproteobacteria; Enterobacterales; Enterobacteriaceae
Also listed under: 2 other names
Description: bacterial SSU rRNA
Rfam family: Bacterial small subunit ribosomal RNA
Source: RNAcentral